GUUAAAGGUCUCCAGCCAAGGUCCUGUGAAGCCACCAGUUUGGAGGAAAGGAGAGAAGCUGAGCUGACCAUAAUCAAGAUGGUUCAGGAAGCAGCUUUCUCGCAAGAAAUACCGCUACUCCAGAGUCACAAGGAGACACCAGUCAAGGGCAAGGCCAGUAAGUUGCAUCGGUUGGGUCCCUUCCUGGAUGACCAAGGUGUUCUCAGAGUUGGAGGCCGCUUAACUCAUGCCACCUUACAUCCACAAGUGAAACAUCCAGCGAUUCUUCCAAAAGACAAUCAUGUAUCGAUGUUACUUGUCAAGCAUUAUCAUGAGAGAGUGCUUCACCAGGGACGAGGGAUGACCAUGAAUGCCCUCCGAUCCAAUGGCAUAUGGAUACUAGGCUGCAGUAAAGCAGUAUCUUCCCACAUCUACAAGUGCACCAAGUGCCGGAAGUUCAGGAGAUGCACUGAGCAACAAAGAAUGGCGGACCUCCCGGAAGACCGGAUGGAGACGGCUCCUCCAUUCACUUACUGCGGGAUGGACUGCUUUGGACCAUUUUACGUAAAGGAAGGAAGGAAAGAGCUUAAACGCUAUGGAUUGAUACUUACCUGCAUGUGUUCCAGAGCUAUUCACAUUGAAAUGCUCGACAACCUGUCCACAGAUGCAUUCAUUAACUCUCUGCGUUCAUUCAUCGCUAUUCGUGGAAAUGUGCGCCAAUUAAGAAGCGAUCAAGGAACCAACUUCGUUGGGGCAAGACGAGAGUUUGCCGAAGCUUUGAAAGAGAUGAAUCAGGAAGAGUUCAAGGAACUGGGAUGUGAGUUCAUCAUGAAUACCCCAGCUUCAAGUCACAUGGGUGGUGUCUGGGAAAGACAAAUCCGCACCAUCAGAAGUGUCUUGACGUCCAUUCUAGAACAGUCAUCCUCACAGCUUGACUGCUCCUCUCUAAGAACAUUCCUGUAUGAAGUCAUGGCAGUUGUGAACAGCAGACCUCUGACCACUGACUGUCUCAGUGAUUCGUCCAGUCCAGAGCCCCUGACGCCGAACCACAUACUGACCUUGAAGUCCACAAUCCUCGCUCCACCUCCUGGGAAAUUUGCCAAUGAAGAUCUGUACCUCCGCAAGAGAUGGCGUCGAGUUCAACUACUAGCCAACCACUUCUGGACAAGAUGGAAGAAGGAAUACCUCCUGAACCUCCAGCAGAGACAGAAGUGGACCAAAAGUCAUUAUAGAUCUCCCAGGCAUAUGCAGUCCUCCUGCAGUAUGCCACAUAAUGCCCGAGAGAAUCCUGGGUCAGUCCUGGUUCAAAGCCAAUGACUGCUCUCAAAGUAAAGGUCUUCUCUUUUAGCUCCAGACUGGAGGGAAAUUCAAGCAAGGCAACUUCCUUGCAACUGCUGCCAAGGUCAGUGUCAAUCCACACAAACUCUCCCAGAUUGUAGCUGUGAGUAACAUUACCUGAACACAGAGCCUUGCCUGUAUUGUUGUCCUGUGUUUUGAAUGAAGACGGACAAUGGGAAGGAUUUUCAAUUGGCCUGAGGCAGAGAGAGUCAGGAAGGCUGAGUCCCUCUUCAGCAGCAGUCUGAAGAGAAGCCAUGCCACAGUGGAGAUGUGGCAUUGUGCAUCAAUUUGGAGAGCACCAGAGGUCAGGAGGACAGGUUUGAAUAUUUCCCCCAGCAGUUCUGCCCUCUGUGAGUAUACCUGUGGGUUCACACUCUGUGUUGUGAUGGUUUUCACCAGGUGGAGGAAUUGGUUCCCAUGUUCAUAGUUCAGAACAGUCUUUUCAAAUGAAAAACUUUCACAGAAAGAACAGCAUAAGCAUUGCAAGACAGAAUCAAAUGCACAAGUAUUGAGCACAAACACUUUUGAUGUGCGAAGUUUAACAGGCUGUUGAUGGUUCCCGUUUUUCAACAAUGGUACCUUGACUUUUUUCCAGCCCACUUGUGUGCCAAUAUGCAGCCAUUCAGGACAAGGAGAGAGAUAUGAAGUUAUCUUUCUUUUUUUCGGUGGGACCGCUAAACCUCUCCAGUUUUCAACUGCACUGUCAGUAGAUGCAUCUGGCUCCGCUCCAGGAUGAGAUUUUUCUCCCCUUUUGUUUACUACUUCAGUUUGAGAAGUACUGCAGACAUUGUCAGGCUCUCUGACGGUCGUGGCAUCACACACAUCACUUUUUUGUUUUGCAGAGCAAAUCCGCAUGUUUCCCUCAAUGAAGGAAAGAUGACGAGCAACAAACCGGUCCACACGAAUGGGCAGUCCCAUCGGCAGAUCAUCUUAAUGCAGUGUGCUACAUCUACCCUGACAAAACAUGGGGGUAGAUGUCCAGGUUGAUUCCCACGUGAAAUGUUAAAGCACUCAUUGAUGUAGCUCUUCAGAUCAGGAUGAGGGGUAAAAGCUUUGACUAGAGCUCCAAGAAUCGCCAGAGAAAAGUCACUCACUGCUUCUUUAGGAACAGAUGCACCUGCAUGGAUCCAUUCCUUCAGCCACUGUGUGAUAGCAUUAACAUCAUGCUUCUCUGACAGCAUCUGCACGACUGGGACACUGGAGCUGGUAUGCCCUGUCAUAACACCCUGAUACAGGAAGAUAUGGCCAGACAUGCCAUUCGGCCUCAUCAGUUUUUUAACUAUUGAGCCAGUUGCAUCAACACAUAAUAUUGGGUGGGAUUUCUUUAAGCUCUUGUACACAUGCAUUUGUGUUUGACUCCAAUAGUGACAGAAAAACUUGUCAAGUCCAAUGUCUUUGAUGCUGUCACUGUGAGGUGCACUGUAUUUCAACAUCUGCAAUGAUAAAAUUGGAUUUUUGUCACCUAA
Molecule: RNA transcript, 2783 nt
Organism: Syngnathus acus (greater pipefish)
Lineage: Eukaryota; Metazoa; Chordata; Actinopteri; Syngnathiformes; Syngnathidae
Exons: 4
Source: RefSeq, a predicted model, not a curated record